GGUAACAACAUACAGAAUCACCGACUCAUAGACUCUUCAGGACCCAUACAACAGUAGUUUGAGUAGAGAAAGAGUGCAGUCCAGUGGAGUAAGCCUGGGAUUUCUCCUGAGACGAUCUGGAUUUGAAUCGUGCUUCUACCAUCUAACAACCCUGCACUGGCUUCCUUAUGGUUAAAGACAUCCACAUAUAUUACAAGGACUGACGUCUGUUUCUGAACAGUUUGGUUCCAGUUAUCUGCCCGCU
Mustela lutreola (European mink) is the source of this 244-nucleotide long non-coding RNA. RefSeq lists it as uncharacterized. The transcript is spliced from 3 exons. Lineage: Eukaryota; Metazoa; Chordata; Mammalia; Carnivora; Mustelidae. The record is from RefSeq and is a predicted model, not a curated record.